CUACUUCAUCACAUAUUCGUUAUUUGACUCAAAGACUAGCAGUAGGAUUUUUAACAAUUUAGUUUGUUCCAAGUGGUACUCGGACCCACACACGGUAUACAAAAGUUUCCAGGCUUGCCGCCGUAAUUGGAGACAGUUCUAACCAUGAAGGUAAAUUACCUGACAAAAUCAUGGGCCUCUUUUAUUUUGCAGAGCGAAAGAAGAAUUUAAACGUAUGUACAUUUUGUAUUAUCGUGCUACAUCUUUUCCCGUAAAAGUACAAGGAUGUGCGUGAUAGGCAAAAAUGCUGAACGUUGUCAAGAAUGCAAAAAACGUGCCAUUUGAAUUUUGUCAAGUCAAGGACGCAUGAAAAUAUAUUGUCCUUUGGUCUAAGACCUUGUGGAACAGCUAGACUUUGAACAAGGAGGAUUUGCUAUAUCUCUCUGUAGCACAAGUUGACCUAUGUUAAAGGGAGUUUAUGGAAUGUUAUGGAAAAACUGUUGACUUGUCUUAAUGGACAGGGUGGGCCCUUGUGUGUGUGUGUGUGUGUGUGUGUGUGUGUGUGUGUGUGUGUGUGUGUGUGUGUGUGUGUGUGUGUGUGUGUGUGUGUGUGUGUGUGUGCCUACAGAUCUCCCAUGUGAUGGCGAGUGUGUGGAGGUGAAAAGGAUGGAGGAUGGGGGUAGUUAGUUAUCGUCAUUAGUCAACGCUCAACAAAGCACAGAGAGAAGGAGAGAAGUAAAGGGCUGUUCCUAUUGGACUGGAGGAGAGGACCACCAAUUAACAGCCUCCACUUAGCCGUGCUGCUGAAGGGUGAUAAUUCUGCACAAGGACAUUAAUUGCAGCUGCAGUAUGUAGCCUUGCAGAGGCAGCCAGGGGUCUUUUAUAUAUUGUUUCUAAUGUUUGUAAUUACAGUAGGGCAAGAUGGCCCUAUGCCCGUGCAUGUUUAUGGCCCUGCUGUGAGGAACCCGACUCCUGUGACGACGGAGCAGUGGCAGUGGAACUGUACUGUGUUGACAAGUCAAAAGGCUUGACGAAGAAGGUGCAGACUGCAGAAGGCCGGGGACAUACAGUAUCUGUGAUGUGUGGGUGAACCAAGACACACUGUAGGAUGGCAUAGUAAAACGCAACCAUUUGAGCUAUAAACGCUUUGCAAAGAUGCCCAACUGUUAACAGCAAGCAACAAACUACUUUAAUUGUAUUCUCCAAACUCCAAGUAAGAGCAUACUGUAGGUCCAAAUAUUCAUUUUCUUCGCCUUGACAGUGUGAGGGUAUUCACUUGUUCUACGACUACAUGCAUUUCCACAACAACCUUCACUUUUCAGUUUUUGUUGUUGUUGCAAUUAAUGACGUAAAUGUAACAAUAUCACCAUCCAACAAAUUACAAGACCUAGAAAUGGUUACAACCAUGUAAUCAAGAUAUAACAUUUUCAGAUACAUUCACUGACUAACAGUACUAAAUCUAACACACCACAUGUUCAGAUGCAUUCACUGACUAACAGUACUAAAUCUAACACACGACAUGUUCAGAUACAUUCACUGACUAACAGUACUAAAUCUAACACACGACAUGUUCAGAUACAUUCACUGACUAACAGUACUAAAUCUAACACACCACAUGUUCAGAUACAUUCACUGACUAACAGUACUAAAUCUAACACACGACAUGUUCAGAUACAUUCACUGACUAACAGUACUAAAUCCAACACACCACAUUUUCAGAUACAUUCACUGACUAACAGUACUAAAUCUAACACACCACAUUUUCAGAUACAUUCACUGACUAACAGUACUAAAUCCAACACACGACAUGUUCAGAUACAUUCACUGACUAAAAGUACUAAAUCUAACACACAACUAAAAGUUUAACAAUCUCCUCCUACUGGCAGUCUUUAGUUUGAGAAAAUGGUGGCGAGGAAAGGAGGGAUUGGAGUGGAUAAAAUAGCAAGUGGGAGAUUUCUGGAUAAACCCUCUGACACUCUGCUCCAGUAGCCUACCUCUAACUUUACACUUCUGCAGUCUGCAAUUUUUUCUAGGACAAAAUCGCCAUGGCGACGACUGAGGCCAAAAAAGGGAGGGAAUAUAUGAGUGCUGGAAGAAAAACUAGUAGAGGAUCUCAGCCCAAAUGCUAUCUGGAAUAUCACUCAGCCUGGCAGGUACAUAAAACAAGUAUCCUUCCAAAUGAUGCAUACUCUACUAAGGGGCCCUUUGGACGUGGUACACUACCCAUUACAAACUAUCUAAAACUUGACUAACUAGUGCCUGGAACUAGCCCAAAUGCAAGUUUAUUUUGCUGGUGAUUUGAGUCGCUCAUUUGGUCUGCUGAGGUAAACUGAUUGAGUGCAGGUCAAAGUUGAGACCAAAGGGCCUACAUUGGGGACUUCUAGCGUUAGAGGAGGAAAAUCAUCAUCAUCCCCCAAAACUCUCCCCCAGUCCAAUAUUAUGUCAUUAUUACUAUGCUCAGCGUCUCGGUGGAGCUCGUGUGGUUUCAUGGAUAAAUCUCAUGUGACGUGCCUGAUGACAUCCCGAUAAACGCAGAGAGAAUAAAAUGGCCCCCAAUCCUCAGUGGUCAGCGGCGUAAUGGGCUAAUGGCUUCCAUGAGAGGAGAGGAGAGGAGAGGAGAGGAGAGGAGGGCAUGACUAGGGGGUCUGAGGGGAAACCUACACAGUAUUUCUGCUUCUGCCCUCUCUGGCCCCAUUGUAUUGCAUAUAAUCCUGCUGUACACAGAGACUAGAGGACCUGUAGUGUCCACUGUUACCCACUCUAGUCUUCUUUAGCCUCAGUGCUGUGAACCUGGAAAGCUAGACAACACAAUCUAUAACUGAGGCCAGCCUUAAACAUGCCAAAUUUAAGUUGAUUUAAUUCAUUUACAUGGGAGAGUAUAAUUGAACUCUAGAAUUGUAUGACAAAUAAAAUAUAAAGGGUUCUGUAAACAAACAAACAAACAAACAGCAUUAGUUGUUUUUACAUCGACACAUACAUUUAUGAGCUCUAGGGCUGUCCCUGAAAAAAAUAAUAUUGGUCGACCGAAUGUCGUCUGUUUUUUAACAUGUAUUUCUCCAUAUAUAGACACACCCUAUGUGUUUUAAUAAAAUCAACUAAUUCCAGUUUGUCUGAUGCUUUAAGCUUACGGUUUGAUGCCUGAAGAGGGCGCCAGAGAUCUAGAUAACCAGAAGGAAAAAAAACACUUAACCUGACCCAGCUUUUCUCCUCCCAUUCCUGCUGACUUUCCCAUAUUCUGCCACUACUCUCCUGAAGUUGCCAGUAAUAGGCUACAGUAGGAGUCAGCAACCUUUCUCAUGUGGAAUUCCAAUUUAUCUGACUAUUUCUACUGAUCUGUGUGCCAGUUAUGGUUUUCAUAUGCACAUUUUCAUUUUAAAACAUGUUUUAUAAUAAAGUCUUCAUAUCUCAAAAUCAACAUCAUGUGGUUAAUCAUAAUUCUAUCUAAAUGAAAAUGAUACAAACCUAAAAAGUAACUUCUAUUGCCAUUGCCAAUAUGUAAAAAAUAGCCUAAAUAAAGCCAACAAAUAAAAACAUUGCAGCCUGCAGGUAGAAAAUAUCCUGAUAAAAAUAAAUAUCCUAUGAAUCACAUUGGCUACACAUGGCCAGUCUGCAAGGAACUUGAAACAUUGUGUCAACUAUUAACUAAAUGGGUCCGGUCUGAAGCUUGCCUAGCGAACUUGCAACAUUGUAUAAAAUAUUCUGGGCCCUCAGAGUUUCCCGCAUCGGGACAUUCACAGCUGUAGGCUACUUGCGCUUGGAUAACAAGCAGUGGUUGACUUGGGGAGGAGAUCCCCGGAGCUGAGUACAGGCACCUCAAAUGAUCUACUGCUCGAGCUCCUGUUCCCCUUAUAGAAUAUUAGCUUAGAAGUAUUGUGGAGCUCCUGCACCUAAAUAUAAACAGUACCAGCGCCCAAAAUGAGUACCGGAACCUUUUUCAGUUCAAGUCAAGCACUGAUAAGAAGCCUAUUUUAUGACAUUUCAGAGCAUGACAUUUUACCCUUUCACUCUGAGUAGUUAUCGAAAAGAUGUUUUAAAUACACUGAGAAACUAUUGUAAUUCCCAAUGCAUGUGAAAAGAGACUUUGUUUGCUUGCUGUUUGAGGUGAAGAAAACGUUACUUUGAGAAGCUCCACAGGUCAUUAGUGGUGGUGCGUUAAGCCAACCAGAAGUACUACUAGAUCCCCAAAUGGGCACAUUUCUAUCCCUACAUUUGCUCGUAGCCCAGGUAGCCUAUAGGAAUACUUCUAUGCGUGCGUGUCCUUACUCAACAUUGACAGGAGCGCUCCAAACAAAAGACUCAAUUGUCAAAACUCGUAAAUUAAAUGAAAUCAUCCAAAACUUGUUUCUCACAAGUGUAGCAUAGCUUGUGGACUCUGAAAACAAUGUGUCCACACCGACAAGGAGAACAGGAAUAAGAGAACAGAAUAAUAAUAUUGAAUGCAUUAACAGAAAUGACCGUAACCAAAAUAACAAACAUUGUAGAUAUUAAAUUAUAGGAAUUAACAGUAAAUGUACUACUGGUGAUUAUAUGUAAUGGGGAAUUGAUAUACAAUAACAAUCAAACGCAAACAGUUCACACAAUUAAGUUAUGAAACAAUGAAUGUGCACAUAUUGGGAAAGAGUGCAUUCUGGAGAGAGAAGUGCAUUGUGCUUCUGGGCGUAUGGUCAAUCAGACUCCUGCAUUGGCCAUGCAGCAUUUACGGUGAUACCGCAGAAGUCAGGGCAUUCAUACUUCUUGCGCUUUGCUCAGCAGUGCAGAGCAGUUGUCAAGGAAGUGAGUUUGUGUUUAUACAGGAUGUACUGCCCCCCCACCUACUGUUUUUUUAAUCCAUCUACACACAAUACCCAAUAAUGAAAACACACCUGAGUCAAUAUACUUUGUAGAAGCACCUUUGGCAGUGACUACAGCUAUGAGUCUUUCUAGGCAAGUCUCUAUGAGUUUUCCACACCUGGAUUGUGCAAUAUUUACCAAUUAUUAUUUUCAAAAUUCUUCAAGCUCUGUCAAAUUGGAUAUUGAUCAUUGCUAAAAAAAAAUAUUUUCAGGUCUUUUCAUAGAUUUCCAAGUAGAUAUAAGUCAAAACUGUAACUCAGCCACUCAGGAACAUUCACUGUCUUCUUGGUAAGCAACUUCAGUGUAGAUUUGGCCUUGUGUUUAAGGUUAUUUUCCUGAUGAAAGGUGAAUUCCCAGGUUCUGGUGGAAAGCAGACUGAACCAGGUUUUCCUCUAGGAUUUUGCUUGUGCUUCGCUCCAUUCUGUAUCAUUUUAUCCUUAAUGGUGACAAGCAUACGCAUAACAUGAUGCAGCCACCACUAUGCUUGAAAAUACGGAGAGUAGUUCUCAGUGAUGUGUUGUAUUGGAUUUGCCCCAAAACGUAACACUUUGAAUUCAGGACAUAAAGUUAAUUUCUUUGCCACAUCUUUAGCAGUAUUACUUUAGUGCCUUGUUGCAAACAGGAUACGUGUUUUGGAAUAUUUUCAUUCUGUACAGGCUUCCUUCUUUUCACUCUGUCAAUUAGGUUAGUAUUGUGGAGUAACUACAACUGUUUUAAAAUCACCAUUGGCCUCAUGGUGAAAUCCCUGAGCGGUUUCCUUCCUCUCCGGCAACUGAAUUAGGAAGUACGCCUGUAUCUUUGUAGUGACUGGG
This is a long non-coding RNA of Oncorhynchus tshawytscha (Chinook salmon), 5621 nucleotides long. NCBI's taxonomy places the organism in Eukaryota, Metazoa, Chordata, Actinopteri, Salmoniformes, Salmonidae. The record is from Ensembl.